This 490-nucleotide ribosomal RNA is filed under the name uncultured bacterium. RNAcentral describes it as "partial 16S ribosomal RNA". It matches the Rfam family "Bacterial small subunit ribosomal RNA", at positions 30 to 507 of the family's 1533-position model. The record is from RNAcentral.
AUUGAACGCUGGCGGCAGGCCUAACACAUGCAAGUCGAACGGUAACAGGAAACAGCUUGCUGUUUCGCUGACGAGUGGCGGACGGGUGAGUAAUGUCUGGGAAACUGCCUGAUGGAGGGGGAUAACUACUGGAAACGGUAGCUAAUACCGCAUAACGUCGCAAGACCAAAGAGGGGGACCUUCGGGCCUCUUGCCAUCGGAUGUGCCCAGAUGGGAUUAGCUAGUAGGUGGGGUAACGGCUCACCUAGGCGACGAUCCCUAGCUGGUCUGAGAGGAUGACCAGCCACACUGGAACGGAGACACGGUCCAGACUCCUACGGGAGGCAGCAGUGGGGAAUAUUGCACAAUGGGCGCAAGCCUGAUGCAGCCAUGCCGCGUGUAUGAAGAAGGCCUUCGGGUUGUAAAGUACUUUCAGCGGUGAGGAAGGGAGUAAAGUUAAUACCUUUGCUCAUUGACGUUACCCGCAGAAGAAGCACCGGCUAACUCCGUG